CGACGGCGACUGGCGGCGGCGCCGGUGAACUUCACUGUUGGACAGCAGCCUGCAAAGGAGCAGCGCCAAGAUUCCGGCCAGACCGGAACCAAGCAUGAAGAAGAUCGACACCUUGGCGUAUGAAUACUGACCACCCAAUUUCUCUGUCUUGUGAUAGAUUCCAAGGAGAUCUCCAAUAAAACCAGAGAAUGAUGUGGUCACCAAAGAUAAGUGAAAGACACCAACAAGGAUGGAAGGGACCAAUGAAAUGGGCAGGAAGUAAUAAGCCUUAGGAAGCAGAGAACAAGUGAUGGAAAUAAAUGACAAAAUAAGGGAGGAUAUGGAGGUAGCCAAGAGGACUAUGGAAAGUUUCAGCUGGUUGAUGGCGCUGAUGAUGUGCUCUGGCUUGAUUGUCAUCAACUUCAGGGUGUGGAACAUGAGGGAAAUUGCGGUGACAAAGGCUGUGAAUGCAAAGGAGGAGGCGAAUUUCAGUCCGAGUGGAAGUUUGAGUGCAUCUCCACGAAGAAAUAGAAUGUCAAUCAGGGGGACUGUAGAGAUUGUGACGAGGAGCAAUGCAAAUUUCAGAUUCUUGGGGGCAAAUGAAAGAAGCAAAAAAAGAAAAAAAAAUUGGCGAGCUGUACCGAUGUGAGAAGCUGAAAUGGAGGGGAUUUAUUUUCUUACUUGAGGAGGGUGAAGUAGUUCUCCUCCGAGAGGCAGCUCCCUUUCGUCGUCGUCUCCGGCAGCCACCGCAGCUUGAGCAGGAACACCCUUGACGACGUGCGCUGACUUCGGUGCCUUCACCAUGGCGUUCUUCUUCUUGUGCUAGUUCAUCACUUCAUCGUACGUCCUGUUUUAUCCAGCAAAAAGGAAGUGAUCGUGCUACUUGGAGAAAUUCCAUAUGAAGAAGAAGGAGGCCAUAAUCAAAGUCGUCGUUGCCGAUAGAAUUGGGGAGGAGGAGGAGGAGAGGCUAGGUCUACGAGAAGAGGAGAGAGGAAAUGAGCUGGAAGCUAGCUAGGGAGAGACCCAUGCAUACUGGGGGAGGGGCCGGGUGCGGGUAGCGUAUGUGUCACGCGUACUCACCGAACUUUUUCUUAGCCUCCAAGUAUGCUAUGCUGUCAUUUACACUACACAGCUGCUCACACAUGUUCAUCGAUCUCA
This is a long non-coding RNA of Oryza sativa Japonica Group (Japanese rice), 1137 nucleotides long. RefSeq lists it as uncharacterized. The record is from RefSeq and is a predicted model, not a curated record. NCBI's taxonomy places the organism in Eukaryota, Viridiplantae, Streptophyta, Magnoliopsida, Poales, Poaceae.